This 375-nucleotide ribosomal RNA is filed under the name Lactococcus lactis. RNAcentral's name for it is "bacterial SSU rRNA". It matches the Rfam family "Bacterial small subunit ribosomal RNA", at positions 139 to 500 of the family's 1533-position model. The record is from RNAcentral. Lineage: Bacteria; Bacillati; Bacillota; Bacilli; Lactobacillales; Streptococcaceae.
GGGGAUAACACUUGGAAACAGGUGCUAAUACCGUAUAACAAUCGAAACCGCAUGGUUUUGAUUUGAAAGGCGCUUUCGGGUGUCGCUGAUGGAUGGACCCGCGGUGCAUUAGCUAGUUGGUGAGGUAACGGCUCACCAAGGCCACGAUGCAUAGCCGACCUGAGAGGGUGAUCGGCCACAUUGGGACUGAGACACGGCCCAAACUCCUACGGGAGGCAGCAGUAGGGAAUCUUCGGCAAUGGACGAAAGUCUGACCGAGCAACGCCGCGUGAGUGAAGAAGGUUUUCGGAUCGUAAAACUCUGUUGUUAGAGAAGAACAAGGAUGAGAGUAACUGUUCAUCCCUUGACGGUAUCUAACCAGAAAGCCACGGCUAA